This 206-nucleotide ribosomal RNA is filed under the name Actinomycetota bacterium. RNAcentral's name for it is "Actinobacteria bacterium partial 23S ribosomal RNA". It matches the Rfam family "Bacterial large subunit ribosomal RNA", at positions 2722 to 2925 of the family's 2925-position model. Lineage: Bacteria; Bacillati; Actinomycetota. The record is from RNAcentral.
UGUCCCGCCAGGGGCACGGCUGGUUAGCCACGUCCGGAUCGGAUAACCGCUGAAAGCAUCUAAGCGGGAAGCCGACCCCAAGAUGAGUUCUCCCACCGGGAAACCGGGUAAGACCCCUCGUAGACCACGAGGUUGAUAGGCCGGAAGUGGAAGCGCGGCAACGCGUGGAGCUGACCGGUACUAAUAGGUCGAGGGCUUGGUUCCUA